UUCGGAUUGUAGUCUGCAACCCGACUACAUGAAGCUGGAAUCGCUAGUAAUCGCGAAUCAGAAUGUCGCGGUGAAUACGUUCCCGGGUCUUGUACACACCGCCCGUCACACCAUGGGAGUCGGAAAUGCCCAAAGUCAGUGACCUAACCGAAAGGGAGGAGCUGCCGAAGGUGGAGCCGGUAACUGGGGUGAAGUCGUAACAAGGUAGC
RNAcentral lists this ribosomal RNA (209 nucleotides) under uncultured bacterium. RNAcentral describes it as "partial 16S ribosomal RNA". It matches the Rfam family "Bacterial small subunit ribosomal RNA", at positions 1292 to 1500 of the family's 1533-position model. The record is from RNAcentral.